AUACGUAGGGGGCGAGCGUUGUCCGGAAUGAUAGGGCGUAAAGGGCGCGUAGGCGGCCCGGUAAGUCUGGAGUGAAAGUCCUGUUUUUAAGAUGGGAAUUGCUUUGGAUACUGUCGGGCUUGAGUGCAGGAGAGGUAAGUGGAAUUCCCAGUGUAGCGGUGAAAUGCGUAGAGAUUGGGAGGAACACCAGUGGCGAAGGCGACUUACUGGACUAUAACUGACGUUGAGGCGCGAAAGUGUGGGGAGCAAACAGGAUUAGAUACCCUGGUAGUCCACACUGUAAACGAUGAAUGCUAGGUGUAGGGGGUAUCGACCCCUUCUGUGCCGCAGUCAACACAAUAAGCAUUCCGCCUGGGGAGUACGGCCGCAAGGUUGAAACUCAAAUGAAUUGACGGGG
This 397-nucleotide ribosomal RNA is filed under the name uncultured bacterium. RNAcentral's name for it is "partial 16S ribosomal RNA". It matches the Rfam family "Bacterial small subunit ribosomal RNA", at positions 523 to 918 of the family's 1533-position model. The record is from RNAcentral.